This 373-nucleotide ribosomal RNA is filed under the name uncultured bacterium. Its description in RNAcentral is "bacterial SSU rRNA". It matches the Rfam family "Bacterial small subunit ribosomal RNA", at positions 521 to 896 of the family's 1533-position model. The record is from RNAcentral.
UAAUACGAAGGGUGCAAGCGUUAUCCGGAUUCAUUGGGUUUAAAGGGUGCGUAGGCGGGGCCAUAAGUCAGUGGUGAAAUCUUGCGGCUUAACCGUAAAAUUGCCAUUGAUACUGUGGUUCUUGAGUAUGCUCGACGUAGGCGGAAUGUGCCGUGUAGCGGUGAAAUGCUUAGAUAUGGCACAGAACACCGAUAGUGAAGACAGCUUACGAGGGCAAAACUGACGCUGAGGCACGAAAGCGUGGGGAUCGAACAGGAUUAGAUACCCUGGUAGUCCACGCCGUAAACGAUGAUCACUCGUGAUUGGCGACAUACGGUCAGUCACCUAGCGAAAGCGUUAAGUGAUCCACCUGGGGAGUACGAUCGCAAGAUUG